UCUCCGUUGGUGAACCAGCGGAGGGAUCAUUACAGGACUCGCAAGACUCCUUUACCCUGUGAACCUCACUACAAGCACGUUGCUUCGGCGGGUGUCCCGGCGGGGGUUUUCCCUCGCCGGGGCGCACAGCCCGCCGGCAGCCUACUAUACUCUGUCUCUUUGCGUUGGCAUCUCGAGAAAAAACAAACAAGUUAAAACUUUCAACAACGGAUCUCUUGGUUCUG
RNAcentral lists this unclassified non-coding RNA (224 nucleotides) under plant metagenome. RNAcentral's name for it is "partial contains small subunit ribosomal RNA, internal transcribed spacer 1, and 5.8S ribosomal RNA". The record is from RNAcentral.